This 72-nucleotide transfer RNA is filed under the name Ipomoea nil (Japanese morning glory). It matches the Rfam family "tRNA". From Rfam's summary of the family: Transfer RNA (tRNA) molecules are approximately 80 nucleotides in length. Their secondary structure includes four short double-helical elements and three loops (D, anti-codon, and T loops). Lineage: Eukaryota; Viridiplantae; Streptophyta; Magnoliopsida; Solanales; Convolvulaceae. The record is from Rfam by way of RNAcentral.
GGGUCCAUAGCUCAGUGGUAAAGCAAUUGACUGCCGAUCAAGAAGUCACCAAUUCGAACCUAGUUGGGCCCU